GCCUAAUACAUGCAAGUCGAGCGCAGGAAGCUCACGGAACUCUUCGGAGGGAAGUGAAGGGAAUGAGCGGCGGACGGGUGAGUAACACGUAAGGAACCUGCCCCAAGGAUUGGGAUAACUCCGAGAAAUCGGAGCUAAUACCGAAUAGUUCUUCAGACCGCAUGGUCUGAUGAUGAAAGGCGCUCCGGCGUCACCUUGGGAUGGCCUUGCGGUGCAUUAGCUAGUUGGUGGGGUAAUGGCCCACCAAGGCGACGAUGCAUAGCCGACCUGAGAG
This 274-nucleotide ribosomal RNA is filed under the name Exiguobacterium sp. RNAcentral describes it as "partial 16S ribosomal RNA". It matches the Rfam family "Bacterial small subunit ribosomal RNA", at positions 46 to 298 of the family's 1533-position model. Lineage: Bacteria; Bacillati; Bacillota; Bacilli; Caryophanales. The record is from RNAcentral.